RNAcentral lists this non-coding RNA (205 nucleotides) under Thiobacillus sp. Lineage: Bacteria; Pseudomonadati; Pseudomonadota; Betaproteobacteria; Nitrosomonadales; Thiobacillaceae. The record is from RNAcentral.
AUAAAAAUCCGGCAAUCAGGUGCCAGAAAUGAUCUUCUAUCGUCCUGGAUAAACGGGAAUCAGGUGCGUGGCGCAAUGCCACCAUGCCUGGGCUGCCCCCGCAACGGUAAGCGUUAAACGAUGCAUCACACACGCCACUGGAUUCGUCCGGGAAGGCGAUGCAUGCGGCGCGAGCCCGGAUACCGGCCUGAACCCCGCGUGACCU